AACGUUAGCGGCGCGCUUAACACAUGCAAGUCGAGCGAGAAAGGGGCAACCCCGGUAAAGCGGCGCACGGGUGAGUAACACGUAGAUAAUCAACCCCCAGGUGGUGGAUAACCUUCCGAAAGGAGGGCUAAUACAGCAUGAGACCACGUUCCCGAAAGGGAGUGAGGUCAAAGCCGGCCUCUUCAUGAAAGCUGGCGCCAGGGGAUGAGUCUGCGGCCCAUCAGCUAGUUGGUAGGGUAAUGGCCUACCAAGGCGAAGACGGGUAGCUGGUCUGAGAGGAUGAUCAGCCACACUGGAACUGAGACACGGUCCAGACUCCUACGGGAGGCAGCAGUGGGGAAUCUUGCGCAAUGGGCGAAAGCCUGACGCAGCGACGCCGCGUGAGUGAUGAAGGCCUUCGGGUUGUAAAGCUCUGUGGAGAGGGACGAAUAAGUCGUGGCCAACAUCCACGAUGAUGACGGUACCUCUUUAGCAAGCACCGGCUAACUCUGUGCCAGCAGCCGCGGUAAGACAGAGGGUGCAAACGUUGUUCGGAAUUACUGGGCGUAAAGCGUGUGUAGGCUGCUCUGCAAGUCGGAUGUGAAAGCCCUGGGCUCAACCUAGGAAGUGCAUUCGAAACUGCAGAGCUUGAGUCCUGGAGAGGAAGGCGGAAUUCUCGGUGUAGAGGUGAAAUUCGUAGAUAUCGAGAGGAACACCGGCGGCGAAGGCGGCCUUCUGGACAGUGACUGACGCUGAGACACGAAAGCGUGGGGAGCAAACAGGAUUAGAUACCCUGGUAGUCCACGCCGUAAACGAUGGGUGCUAGGUGUCAGGGGCUUUGACCCCUCUGGUGCCGAAGCUAACGCACUAAGCACCCCGCCUGGGGAGU
RNAcentral lists this ribosomal RNA (868 nucleotides) under uncultured bacterium. Its description in RNAcentral is "bacterial SSU rRNA". It matches the Rfam family "Bacterial small subunit ribosomal RNA", at positions 32 to 881 of the family's 1533-position model. The record is from RNAcentral.